GAUGAACGCUAGCGGCAGGCCUAACACAUGCAAGUCGAACGGAUCCUUCGGGAUUAGUGGCGGACGGGUGAGUAACACGUGGGAACGUGCCUUUUGGCUCGGAACAACUCAGGGAAACUUGAGCUAAUACCGGAUAAGCCCUUCGGGGAAGGAUUUAUCGCCAUUAGAGCGGCCCGCGUCUGAUUAGCUAGUUGGUGAGGUAAAGGCUCACCAAGGCUACGAUCAGUAGCUGGUCUGAGAGGAUGAUCAGCCACCAUUGGGACUGAGACACGGCCCAAACUCCUACGGGAGGCAGCAGUGGGGAAUCUUGCGCAAUGGGCGAAAGCCUGACGCAGCCAUGCCGCGUGAAUGAUGAAGGUCUUAGGAUUGUAAAAUUACUUUUCAGCAGGGACGAUAAUGACGGUACCUGCAGAAGAAGCCCCGGCUAACUUCGUGCCAGCAGCCGCCGUAAG
Molecule: ribosomal RNA, 452 nt
Filed under: uncultured bacterium
Lineage: Bacteria
Description: bacterial SSU rRNA
Rfam family: Bacterial small subunit ribosomal RNA
Source: RNAcentral